RNAcentral lists this long non-coding RNA (301 nucleotides) under Citrus maxima (pomelo). RNAcentral describes it as "long non-coding RNA (CMAX_LNC004445)". The record is from RNAcentral. Lineage: Eukaryota; Viridiplantae; Streptophyta; Magnoliopsida; Sapindales; Rutaceae.
GAAAUAACUGGUAUAUAUUAAUUUCAGUAUGAAAAAUUAACUCUCUCUCUUUACAAUAACCCAAUCAAUUUUGAAGUCAGAAUUCUAAAUUUAAAUACUCUGAACAACAAUCAACUACAGUUGCAUAGCAUUAUUAAGAAAAUUUCAAGAACUCAAAAGCAUCCAAACCCAGGGCGGCAACGAAGCCAUCGAAACUAAACCUUGGUCGCACGCAGCCAUGCCAACCAACUGAAAUCAUGGGACAAACUACAGGUAUUUCAAUUAGGGUUUAGAAGGUCUCUCUCUCUUCUUUUCUUUUUUU